AUUGAACGCUGGCGGCAUGCCUUACACAUGCAAGUCGAACGGUAACGGGCCUUCGGGUGCCGACGAGUGGCGAACGGGUGAGUAAUGCAUCGGAACGUACCUUUCAGUGGGGGAUAACGUAGCGAAAGUUACGCUAAUACCGCAUAUUCUGUGAGCAGGAAAGCAGGGGAUCGCAAGACCUUGCGCUGAUUGAGCGGCCGAUGUCAGAUUAGCUAGUUGGUGAGGUAAAGGCUCACCAAGGCGACGAUCUGUAGCGGGUCUGAGAGGAUGAUCCGCCACACUGGAACUGAGACACGGUCCAGACUCCUACGGGAGGCAGCAGUGGGGAAUUUUGGACAAUGGGGGCAACCCUGAUCCAGCCAUGCCGCGUGAGUGAAGAAGGCCUCGGUUGUUAAAGGUACUAC
This 404-nucleotide ribosomal RNA is filed under the name uncultured bacterium. Its description in RNAcentral is "bacterial SSU rRNA". It matches the Rfam family "Bacterial small subunit ribosomal RNA", at positions 30 to 438 of the family's 1533-position model. The record is from RNAcentral.